CCCUGGUGCUGUCCCAGGGCCUGGCUCUGGGCAGCUCUUCUCAUGUUCUUCACAAGCAAGAUCAAGGGCGAGCCCGGCUUCCCGGCACUUCUGUCAUUUAUAUUCACUGCCCUGCUGUAGGUCAGGGAUAUGGAGGAAAAUAAUGUGUGCCCCAGUUUCCAAAGGGGUAAAGGAGGUUUGAAGAAGAGCAGGGUCCCUCCUGGCAAGGGCCAGGGGCAGAGGACGAGCUUGAGAAGGAGGGUCAGUGCAGUUAAGCUGGAGCUCUUGACAUUUUAAGAGCAGAAAAGAAUUCUGGAAAAAACUGGGACAGGAGCCAGGCUCGGCGAUGGGUGGAGUGAAAUCCGAGGGCAUCUGCGCCAGGGAACCUGCGGACCCGGCCGACCUGUCAGGUGCUAAAUAUCCCCCAGUGACUUAAGUCCUCUCCACUUAAGACAGUUCACCUGCUCCUGGCCUCUGCGAUUUCUGUUUUCUUUCUGAAAUGGCCGUGUGGCCAGGAAAUCUAUGUGUGUCACUCCGCCUGCUCCUAGCUCUUCCAACUUCAUCGACCAAGAACUGUUCCCAUGGGGUGGAAGUUCCAAACUGGCUUCUUAAAGAGACUUCUAAUUUCUUCCAAACUAAAUGAUAAAUCAACGAAGAAAACACAGGCCACCUUGCAAACCUCUUUGGGCUGCAGGUGCACUUCUGAGAGGAGUAAGGAGGAGUUUCUCCCCAGGAAGGGCCUGCCAAAAGAAGAGCAGUGUUCUGGGGUGGUGGUUCUUAAACGCUAGCAUGAGAAGGCACGGA
Molecule: long non-coding RNA, 783 nt
Filed under: Equus caballus (horse)
Lineage: Eukaryota; Metazoa; Chordata; Mammalia; Perissodactyla; Equidae
Description: lncRNA (ENSECAG00000040230.2)
Source: RNAcentral